This 748-nucleotide ribosomal RNA is filed under the name uncultured Ruminococcus sp. RNAcentral describes it as "bacterial SSU rRNA". It matches the Rfam family "Bacterial small subunit ribosomal RNA", at positions 28 to 776 of the family's 1533-position model. Lineage: Bacteria; Bacillati; Bacillota; Clostridia; Eubacteriales; Oscillospiraceae. The record is from RNAcentral.
GAUGAACGCUGGCGGCGUGCCUAACACAUGCAAGUCGAGCGAAGCACUUUGCUUAGAUUCUUCGGAUGAAGAGGAUUGUGACUGAGCGGCGGACGGGUGAGUAACGCGUGGGUAACCUGCCUCAUACAGGGGGAUAACAGUUAGACAUGACUGCUAAUACCGCAUAAGACCACAGCACCGCAUGGUGCGGGGGUAAAAACUCCGGUGGUAUGAGAUGGACCCGCGUCUGAUUAGCUAGUUGGUAAGGUAACGGCUUACCAAGGCGACGAUCAGUAGCCGACCUGAGAGGGUGACCGGCCACAUUGGGACUGAGACACGGCCCAAACUCCUACGGGAGGCAGCAGUGGGGAAUAUUGCACAAUGGGGGAAACCCUGAUGCAGCGACGCCGCGUGAGCGAAGAAGUAUUUCGGUAUGUAAAGCUCUAUCAGCAGGGAAGAAAAUGACGGUACCUGACUAAGAAGCACCGGCUAAAUACGUGCCAGCAGCCGCGGUAAUACGUAUGGUGCAAGCGUUAUCCGGAUUUACUGGGUGUAAAGGGAGCGUAGACGGAUGGGCAAGUCUGAUGUGAAAACCCGGGGCUCAACCCCGGGACUGCAUUGGAAACUGUUCAUCUAGAGUGCUGGAGAGGUAAGUGGAAUUCCUAGUGUAGCGGUGAAAUGCGUAGAUAUUAGGAGGAACACCAGUGGCGAAGGCGGCUUACUGGACAGUAACUGACGUUGAGGCUCGAAAGCGUGGGGAGCAAACAGG